ACCAGAAUGGCUGAGUGGUUAAGGCGUUGGACUUAAAAUCCAAUAGAUACAUAUCCGGGUGGGUUCGAUCCUCACUUCUGGUA
Molecule: non-coding RNA, 83 nt
Organism: Pseudophryne corroboree (corroboree frog)
Lineage: Eukaryota; Metazoa; Chordata; Amphibia; Anura; Myobatrachidae
Source: the annotation of a RefSeq genome assembly